GAUGAGGCAUCCUCUGAAGUAGCUAGGCUAGCAGGUUUUUAAUGUUGUUGUUCCUAAAGUGUCUAAGGUUUAGGUAGAUGAGGCAUCCUCUGAAGUAGCUCGACUAGCAGGUUCUGAAUGCUGUUGUUGACCUGAUCUUGUUUGUCGAGUCUGGUUCUGACCAGUUGUUGUUCCUUCUGACUCUCUUCCAGAGUUCUGAUGACCAGAGGGGAAA
This 214-nucleotide long non-coding RNA is filed under the name Lathyrus oleraceus (garden pea). RNAcentral's name for it is "Pisum sativum (pea) long non-coding RNA (PSAT_LNC008574)". The record is from RNAcentral. Lineage: Eukaryota; Viridiplantae; Streptophyta; Magnoliopsida; Fabales; Fabaceae.